GUGUGCUGCUGAUGUCAGCAGGAGAAACCACUCUCCACAGGCAGUUUUGAAGGACCUCUCCUUUUGGGGGAGGAAGAGUAAAUGCUCCUGAGGGGAGCUCAGUCUCUUCCGGAGUGGUUUUCCCUUGUGGUGGUCUGAGCAGCAGGAGCAGAUGAGUCCUGAGGGCCCUGGCUGCAAAGCUGUUUUUCCAUUGAAGCUACGGACCCCAGGUGAUCUAAAUGAGAGGAGAAUAUGGAUAACCUCUCGCUUCGGCAGUGUUAAUCAGAUACCACUGGCCUGUGAGAAUGAAGAUCCACACCAAGCCAUUAUCCGUCAUUUAUACGGAAGACCUAGCGAUGAUCAGGAAGAAUUUGUGGCAUAAUUCAUUCUGGCUCGGUGUUU
Dromiciops gliroides (monito del monte) is the source of this 381-nucleotide long non-coding RNA. RefSeq lists it as uncharacterized. The transcript is spliced from 3 exons. NCBI's taxonomy places the organism in Eukaryota, Metazoa, Chordata, Mammalia, Microbiotheria, Microbiotheriidae. The record is from RefSeq and is a predicted model, not a curated record.